This 2784-nucleotide ribosomal RNA is filed under the name Triticum aestivum (bread wheat). RNAcentral describes it as "partial small subunit ribosomal RNA". Lineage: Eukaryota; Viridiplantae; Streptophyta; Magnoliopsida; Poales; Poaceae. The record is from RNAcentral.
AUGACGGCGAGCUUAACAUCAAAGCACGGUCUGGCGUAUAGCGGCAUGGAGGCCUUUUUCAAGCUUACUUUAGGGAGUAUUUGUGCUUGGUGUGGGCGAUUGAAGUGGUGGGGUUGCCCUAUGGUAGGAAUAAUGUUCUCCUCGUUCUAUCCCCCCAAAGUUGGUGUGUUUUUCGCCAGUGGAGGGCGUGUGGAGUUGUGUCUCUGGUGGGUCUUCCAAGAUCUGAUCGGUUUAGGUUUCCGGUGGAUUUGUCUGGAUUCACCCAGGCGAAGGCUUUCAUGGUCUUCGUGUUAUUUAGAGUUUCUGGUGGCCCUUGUCGACAUUCUUUUCUCCGUGGCGGCAAUUUGGCUCGCAAAUUGCGGUCGCCAGCGUAUCCUAGUCUGCAUUGACGACUACCUGUCUGAUGCUUUUAUAGCCUCCUGUGUUUCAAAAAGUUUGCUCCACCCAGGCGAAGGCCUAGAGGCGGCAUCGAGCUAUGCUCGCGGCGCACCGCCUAUGAAUGCAGUAGGUAGAAGACUUCACCACCCUCAAGAUUUUGAAUGUAUAUCUUUUUCAGGAGUGUUUGACUUGCUGGUUUGGAUGGGUGAAGCUGGAGCACCGAUGCAAUAUUUGCUGGAACUGUGGAAUGAGUGGGAGAUCCAAGCUGUUGUUGUUGUCAGCUUUAGUCUGCAGGUUAUCCUCUUCUUCUUUGCUGGGAUCCGCCGCUACACCGUCUCUUCUGUUCUCCGGGCGCUUCUCUGGCUGGUGUAUCUGCUUGCUGAUCUUGCUGCGGUGUAUGCCCUGGGGCACAUGUCUUCGUCGUUGACGAAGAAAUCGUCCGGUGAGCACCAGCUGGUGGCGUUCUGGGCACCGUUCCUCCUGCUGCACCUUGGCGGCCAGGACAGCAUCACCGCGUACGCCCUAGAGGAUAAUGAACUCUGGCUGCGCCACCUGCUGAAUAUGUUUGUGCAGGUUGCGGGCACCGCUUAUGUGCUCUACAAGUACAUCAUUGCAGGUGGGGCGACCUUUGUCCGUCCCGCUAUGUUGGUUCUGGCCGCCGGAGUUUUCAAGUAUGGCGAGAGGAUACGGGCACUGAAGCUUUCAAGCAAGAUGUGUUCCGAUGACGGUGCACCACCACGUAGGACUUUUCCGCGGACGAUCAAGCGGGGUUUAAGUUCACCUUUGGAAGAGAAGUCUGGGGAAGCUGGAGUGGGCUUCAAAUAUGGGGGGGAUAUGAUGCAGGGAACCUCCACCGAAAGAGACUACCGCACUGAAAGCAAACAGUUCGAAAAUUAUGCAUUUAUUGUGAUGAGAGCACACGUGUUGUGCCAUGUGUUUCUCAAGCCUUUAAUCAUGGACAGGAACGAGACGUCCAUAGUUUGGCUUCGGCAUUAUGGGAUCAACCACCUGGUAGAGGGUCAUGUACAGGGAUGUGCAUGGGAAGAGUAUCCAUCGGCAGAAGAGAAGAGGCAAAUUCUGGAGGUGUACACCUCAAUCGAGGUGGAACUCGCCGUGAUGUACAACACGCUGUACACCAAGGCACAAGUCAUCCACCACACAUGGUAUGGCUACUGCACCCGUGUCAUUUCACUUGUGUCUUGCUUUGCCGCUCUUGUGGUCUUCACAAAGAGCAAGAGAGAUGGCUACAGCACACCCGACAUUGUUAUCACUUUUGCUCUUCUGGGAGGAGCCUGCGCACUGGAGGUCGCAUCUGUUUUCAAGGCGAUUGGGUCGACCUGGACCUAUGCCAUCCUGAGAGAGCAUGGAUUGGAGUGGCUGGCCAACGCGAUCCUGUUCGCGCGGUACCACCUCAUCGUCGUCAAAGAUGGAAGGUGGUUCCAUUCUGUUGGGCAAUUCAACUUCGUAUCCUUCUGCGUUCACAGCAACAAGAGGAGCCUCUGGAAAACAAUUGCCAAGUGGAUUAGGCUCAAGGACUCUUUGAUCAAACCUCAGUGCACCAAACAUGCCAAGCUAUCACCUGCCCUGAAGGAGUAUGUAUGGGGCCUCGUCAAAGGUGAGAAGAGGCAUAUGGUAGGAAUUGAAGAUGUGGGCAUGCAGAGUGGGUACUGGGCUCGCAGCUUUAGUGGCUUCCAGCAGAGUGAACAGCUCGACUGGAGCCUGAGAUUUGAAUUUCACGAGUGCGUGCUUGUCUGGCACAUGGCCACAAGCGCCUUCCUCAAUGUACCUGCCGUCAAAUGCAAGCUACUCGUCAAGGACAAGGACAUGGCUGAAAUAGUCAAUACUCUCUCUGAUUACAUGAUGUACCUCCUUGUUGAGCACCCUGACAUUCUGCCUACCAAGGUGGCUGCUCGGAACCUAUUUCGCAGAACCUGCACCUCUUACGGUAAGGCUGCAUAUACCGAGUAUGCACCUUAUCAGGUGAUUGUGGAUUUCAGGCAAAAACUUGAUGAGAGAACAGGAAAACAAAAUGAUAGCCUGGCGCAAAGCAAAUGGUAUGCUGACCCGGGCCAAGCUAUGCUGGGGAAAGCAUGCACCCUUGCUUGCACAAUGCUCGACAUGGAGUUGGGGCUCGCGCAUAAGAUGGAUAUAUUUGGAACAGUGUGGACGAAGAUGUUGUGCUAUGUAGCAACCAAUGCAUCUAGGCAGUUCCACGCCAGACAAUUGAGCAAAGGUGGCGAGUUUCUGACCCACAUCCUGCUUCUUGUUCAAUAUUGUUCUCCUAUACUAGAUAUACCAAAUCCGUACAAAGAAGCUGAUGAAACAGAGUGGCAGCGUGAAGUUGUCCGCAGAGAGCAGGAUGUGGACAUGGAUACGGGCCAUGUGAUCAUUGAGAUCGAUGACUGA